RNAcentral lists this ribosomal RNA (405 nucleotides) under uncultured bacterium. RNAcentral's name for it is "partial 16S ribosomal RNA". It matches the Rfam family "Bacterial small subunit ribosomal RNA", at positions 28 to 526 of the family's 1533-position model. The record is from RNAcentral.
GAUGAACGCUGGCGGCGUGCCUAAUACAUGCAAGUCGAGCGAAGCGGGGACGGGUGAGUAACACGUGGAUACCCUCCUCUAACACUGGGCUAACUUCUGGAAACAGGUGCUAAACCGGCUACUUAUAGAUGGAUCCGCGCUGCAUUAGCUAGUUGGUAAGGUAACGGCUUACCAAGGCAACGAUGCAUAGCCGACCUGAGAGGGUGAUCGGCCACACGGGAACUGAGACACGGUCCAGACUCCUACGGGAGGCAGCAGUAGGGAAUCUUCCGCAAUGGGCGAAAGCCUGACGGAGCAACGCCGCGUGAGUGAUGAAGGUCUUCGGAUCGUAAAACUCUGUUAUUAGGGAAGCGGUACCUAAUCAGAAAGCCACGGCUAACUACGGGCCAGCAGCCGCGGUAAUAC